Molecule: ribosomal RNA, 254 nt
Filed under: uncultured bacterium
Lineage: Bacteria
Description: partial 16S ribosomal RNA
Rfam family: Bacterial small subunit ribosomal RNA
Source: RNAcentral
UACGUAGGGGGGCAAGCGUUGUCCGGAUUUAUUGGGCGUAAAGAGCGUGUAGGCGGCCAGACAGGUCCGUUGUGAAAACUCGAGGCUCAACCUCGAGACGCCGAUGGAAACCGUCUGGCUAGAGUCCGGAAGAGGAGAGUGGAAUUCCUGGUGUAGCGGUGAAAUGCGCAGAUAUCAGGAAGAACACCCGUGGCUAAGGCGGCUCUCUAGUACGGUACUGACGCUGAGACGCGAAAGCGUGGGGAGCGAACAGG